AGAGAGAGACAUGCGCGCAUAUCAAUAAGCGGAGGAAAGAAACUAACAAGGAUUCCCUUAGUAACGGCGAGUGAAGCGGGAAGAGCUCAAAUUUGAAAUCUUCAAGGUUUUACCUUGACGAAUUGUAGUUUAAAGAAGUGUUUUCUGCUGAAGUUUUGGUAAAAGUUCUUUGGAAUAGGACAUCAUAGAGGGUGAGAAUCCCGUAUUUGACCAUUAUUUUCAGCUUUGUGAUACACUUUCAAAGAGUCGGAUUGUUUGGGAAUGCAGUCCAAAAUGGGUGGUAAAUUUCAUCUAAAGCUAAAUAUUGGCGAGAGACCGAUAGCGAACAAGUACCGUGAGGGAAAGAUGAAAAGAACUUUGAAAAGAGAGUUAAACAGUACGUGAAAUUGUCAAAAGGGAAGCGUUUGACACCAGUGUUGUUUUCUCGAAAAUCAAUUAAAAAUGGCUCGAUUUUGUAUUGCUUGAGACCUUAAAAGCUCACUGUACAUUUUUCGUGUCUUUUUUAAUGCACUUUUCGUUUAACAAGUCAACAUCAGUUUCUUUUGUUGUAAAAGGGUCAUUGGAAGGUGGCUUUCUUUUCGGAGAAAGUGUUUAUAGCCUUUGGCCUCUGCAAUCGAAGAGACUGAGGUCUGCAGCGUAGACUCUUCGGGGUUAGAUACAUUUGUGCUAAGUUAUAGCUUUUUAUAGACAACUUGUUGACUAUAAUUAGUCUUGUAGCUUACUCGCUUAUGCUAUUUUACCUACGCUUAGGAUGUUGAAGAUGUAGCACAUCAU
RNAcentral lists this ribosomal RNA (774 nucleotides) under uncultured Neocallimastigales. Its description in RNAcentral is "partial large subunit ribosomal RNA". It matches the Rfam family "Eukaryotic large subunit ribosomal RNA", at positions 23 to 620 of the family's 3401-position model. Lineage: Eukaryota; Fungi; Neocallimastigomycota; Neocallimastigomycetes; Neocallimastigales. The record is from RNAcentral.